RNAcentral lists this ribosomal RNA (253 nucleotides) under uncultured bacterium. Its description in RNAcentral is "partial 16S ribosomal RNA". It matches the Rfam family "Bacterial small subunit ribosomal RNA", at positions 524 to 776 of the family's 1533-position model. The record is from RNAcentral.
UACGGGGGGGGCAAGCGUUGUUCGGAAUUACUGGGCGUAAAGGGCUCGUAGGUGGCCAACUAAGUCAGACGUGAAAUCCCCAGGCUCAACUUGGGAACUGCGUCUGAUACUGGAUGGCUUGAAUUCGGGAGAGGGAUGCAGAAUUCCAGGUGUAGCGGUGAAAUGCGUAGAUAUCUGGAGGAAUACCGGUGGCGAAGGCGACUACCUGGCCUGUUCUUGACGCUGAGGCGCGAAAGCUAGGGGAGCAAACGGG